UUGAAGAUGAUUAAAGAGAAGCGAGUCGGCAGAAUUUGCAAGUUUGCCGCGCGCAAACACAGCGCCGCCAGUUGAUAAUUUUGCCCGUUGUUGAUUUCACUUCGGUAUUACGUGACGCGUCAAAGUCGAAGGGCGACACAGCAGACAGUACGGAACCGGUAGAAUUUGGAAGCGAUCAAGCGAGCGAGCAAUGAGGCAGACCGAAGCGACUAUCUCGCGAGUUCGCCGCGAAUGAAAGCAGUAUAUUUCGUGAACGAGUUAACAUGAUCAGCGGCAUUCAAGCCGCCUUAAAAAAUGCCAUUGACGUGAUUGCCCCGCCGGCAACGCCGUUGCAGGACUUCACCUAUCACUGGAAGCAGUUGAUGAACUUUUAUGUGAGUCACUUAACCGACUGCAAAGUCCCUGUGCAAAAUACCAGUAUACCGCGCCACUUGGAUGUACUGCUAGAGAUCUUACUUGGGGAAGAAAAGGAGGAGAAUGAAACUGGACCGUGUCUUGAGUACCUUCUGCAGCACAAGUUGCUGGAUCUCUUGGCGACCUUGGCCAGUGCGGAGGCGCCGCCUGGCAUGCGAAUGGUUUGCCUGGCCUUCCUGAGAAAAUUGCUGGGCAGAUCCAAGUAUCCACUGCUGCAUCACGCAUCCAUUUAUUCUCCAGUACAGCGAUUAAUCGCACUUUGCAAUGGCAAUCCCCCAUCGCCGAUUGAAGCUGAAGAGGUACAAUUUCUGCUGACUAUUUGCUUUCUGGUAUGCAAGUACCCGCACGUCAGCAACAUCAUCAAUGAUGUUCCAAACACACAGACGGUUGGCAAUCCGGCAAAGAGAGACUGCGAGCGAACAGAGAUUCAAAAGGUGACGUACGUGCCAACGAGAAGAAGAAACAAGUUCAAUCCCUUGUUCGAACCUUUGGACACUCAAGCGAUUACACUGGUGAGCCCGAGUCUGUUCGAUCAGAGGAGAUCGCAUCGCACCGCCGCCUCCUUGCUAUCGCACGGCUCGUCCAGAAGAUCAAACGACUCUGUAUCCUCGAGAGAGGAGAGCGUGUCGUCGAGUCCUUUAGCUCAAAAAUCGGUCUGCGACUCACCAUCCAUAGUUACGAAGAACAAAGAACGGUGCGGGGACGACGAAGAAGAUAUUUUGGGAAACGAAAUCGACCAACACUUGCAAAAUUUGAGGGACUUGCGCUUGGAUAACGUUGACGGUAACGUUUACGACGACGCGAGUUAUACAACGGAUAAUAAUCUGAGCUUCAAGUCACCGCAAGUACCAGAAAAAUCCAAAUGUCUUCUAUUGGAUGCCCUGAUGAGCUAUUUAAACAGCGCGGACAACACCGUGAGGAUACGAGCAUGCGAGGGAAUCAUGGCUUUAGCUUCCCUGGACGAUCCCGCGUUUGCGCAUACCAUGGCCAAGAGCGAGUUGUCGUUGAUAGUGCCGCGUCGAUUGGAGACUCUGUUCAACGCGAUACCAGCACACGUGGACCACCUGGAGAUCUACUGCGUGGAUGUGACGUGGGGUCUGGAUUCACCGUUAUGGACCAAAGAAAGCAAAUUUUCUGGUUGCCGGCAGGUCGCGGCGUUCUUCAUGUGGUUCGACUACUGCGACCAGUUGAUCAGGGAGGCUCGAACGGAAGUCGCGGAAACGUUGGCGAGAAACAUCAGGCUAAUGUUCCUCGACGGAAUAGUGACGCCCGCGCUCGCCAAUCAUCAUGUCGUACUUAUCACCGCGCUUGUCGCCAAGUGCUUAAAGGAGAUCACCUCCGUCGUAUUGUGCACAGAGAUGAGUUACUGGCUGGUUGGACAAGACAGAGAGCCGGCGAUAUCGAACGUGUGGACAUCGCCGGUGUUGCAUCGACUCAUAGAGAACUGCUUUACGGACAGCAACGACCUCACGAUAGAGACGCUCAAGUUGUUCGAAGAAGCGAUAGACAAGAGAAACGAGCAUAUAUUGCACUGUCUGGUGCUGAUUUACCUUUCUACGCGAGUAUAUUACGAUAACACCGCUGCCGACAGCGCUAUCGCCUCGUGGAGCGAUGAGGAGGACGAAAGGGAAAAGGAGAAGAAGGGCUCAUUGGAUCUCUCUUACGAACAGAAUCACAGUCGUACUCUAGCACCGAGUAAUAUCCAUCGGGUUGUCAAUUGUUUUCUAUCAUUGAUGCCGCGAUACCUGCAAACGGACUCAAACGCAAACAACUACGAAAAGUACAUGUCGGCGUGGGAGCGACAGUACUCAUCGGUGCUCUCCGAUUGCGCUCUAAUGGCAUGGCCGCUGGAAGCAGUGAUGGUCGACGACACCGCCAGUUCCGAUUCUCGACCGGAAGCCGACCACUGCUCGGUUACCGCGGAUCGUUUCUACAUGGGACCGUUUCUCAGCAUGCUUUUUGACAAAGUCAGCAACAUGCCCAGACAGACGUAUGAGGUCAACUUGGAGGUUACGGGAUUGCUCUCCAGGCUAGCGCUACUGCCGCAUCCAUAUUUGCACGAGUUCCUGCUGAAUCCCUUACUACCGCUGAUACCCGGCACGAAGAGUCUGUUCCUAUGCCUACAGAGGGUCGUCAAGCAGCUCGUCGGCGAAAUACCGAAAACUCAGGAAAGCAAGGCAAGAUUGAAAGAAACGAGGAAGAGAUUGCUGAGUGACUGUUCGCAGGAGGAGUGAGUGGGAUUUAGAGGAUAUCAUUCUUGAUAUUUUGCAAACCCAUGUAAAAACGAUUAAGAAUAGGAAAAGAUGAGAUAAAACUCAUACCAGGAAGUAAAGGGGAGACUGAUAUUACAACAAAAGAAUCCAUAUUGCGAGGAAAAGGAGGACAUUUUAUACGAGAGUGCCAUUGUGACAGAGGAAUUUUGCAAAGAUCUCGCAGCUAUAGCGUAUAUGAAAUAUCACCAUUCUGUCUGAUAAGUUUCUGCAUAUGAGAGAAGCAUGUAAAUUAUUAAUGUUGAUAUAUCGUCGAAAGCGCGUACAAUUACAUCUGCUCGAUACUUUAAAUACAUAUGCUUAGGUAGUAAACUAUACUUGUGAUGAGACUUUGUAAGAUAUUAAAUAUUAUGCACAUACAUUAAAGAUUAUUACUAAUUAA
Odontomachus brunneus is the source of this 3066-nucleotide RNA transcript. It is a transcript of the gene named protein FAM160B1-like, with no coding region annotated. NCBI's taxonomy places the organism in Eukaryota, Metazoa, Arthropoda, Insecta, Hymenoptera, Formicidae. The transcript has 8 exons. The record is from RefSeq and is a predicted model, not a curated record.